Molecule: long non-coding RNA, 3035 nt
Organism: Corvus hawaiiensis (hawaiian crow)
Lineage: Eukaryota; Metazoa; Chordata; Aves; Passeriformes; Corvidae
Exons: 6
Source: RefSeq, a predicted model, not a curated record
UUAAUGUUUAAUCCACUACUUGAAGCAGUUUUUUCAUUCUCGUCUCUGUACUAAACUGAAAGAAAUGGAACUAAGAUCCUGUAGCUUGAAUUCGCUGAGCUUUUGUUUUGAGGUUGAACAGUGAAUCUUAGAAAGCUUGUUUUUCAUUUGUCCUGAAACCUUGCCCCUCCUGCCUCUUGCUUUUCAUGCCAAUAAAAGCUCCUGUGUUAUGAGGAAGUGUGCAGCAAUCUGGUCUGGAUGAAGAAAAUACCUGAGAAAACCCAAGAGGAAUAUUUGCUGUGAAAAUUUCUCUCAUGAGAUUGUUUUAACUUUCUAUUAAAAAACUGCUUUAAAAAUAAAAUAAUGUUAAAUCAUGCUGGGAAAACCAAUUUCAAUGUGAUAAAACUCCUACAGUGUGAUGCAAGAACCACUCAAUUCAACUGCAAGAGGAAGGGCAUAUUAUUUAAUCAAGCAGAGGGCUAGAGAACAGCAUCAACUUUAUGUUCUCAUUAAAUAAAAAAAUGGUACCUGAACUGCAGAGGUAGCAACUCCUCUGAAAGGCUGAGCCAACAGGAAAGAGAAAGUCAGCAGUGGAUAAGAGAAAUCUGGGAUUCCUUCACAGGAAAAAGGAAGCAGCACAGACCCUACAGUGACCUUACUGCUGGCUGAUUCCAGAGAGCCACCUUGUUGCUCUGAGUUGGAGUUUCUCCAUCUCGAAAAUCAGAGGAAGAAAGCACAUCACAGUCCUGCUCUGACAACAUAGGCCCAGGGAAAUGAAGAAGAGCAAUUUUUGUAUUAUUGUAAACUGCAAAAAGUUCUCGUGAACUUUCAGCUAUGAGUCCGUAUGGGAAUAAUUUCAUUGUGAGAAGGCUGCUUCCAUUCUAUCCUGAAAAAAAGCUGCACGGAAAUCACAGAAGUCUACAGAAGAAAGUACCAGUCAUUGUUUGAGAGCAUUGUGGCCUAUGGAGAUGGAAACCAGAACAUGGAUUUGCCUCCAAACUUUAAAAGCUUCUAGAAACAUGAAUGAAUGAGAAACAAAUGCAAAAAGUUUGCUUAAAAAAAAAAAAAUCUUAAAUCCUUGUUGCUUUUACAAUGAACAGACCUGGCAAAAAGAACGUUAAUUAUAUUGAAUAUCAUUGUUUAAACAGGUAGUGCUAUUCCCAGUAUUUUUUGCUUGCCACCUAGAUUAGUGUUACUCCUCAGUUGCUAACAAUGAAGUUAACAGCCACUGGAACAAAUUAUGAAGAGAAACAGUGAGCUUACCAUUUCUUGAAGUCUGCAAACCAAGAGAGGUUGUUAUGCCUUAGCAAACAAUGGAUACACAGCUGGGUGAAUUUAUGUUGUUGUACUACAGAGAAGUACAUGAAAUAUCCUAUGUGGUCUUUUCUAGCUUUAAGAGCCAUACUCUAUAAUUUCACAAAUACCUUACAAAGAACUCCUUAGAAGUAGUGAUAACCAUAGCACCAAUCUGAAUCCAUCUCCUGAUUUGGGGUUGAUUAUGCUACAGUAUUUAAAAAAGUAUGGACUGUAAUGUUUCUACAUGUUUCUGUCGCAACAACUCAUAUUACUAGCAUAAUUUUAUAAUAUUGGAAAUUUGGUUUUGGAGACUAAAGAGACCCUUCCUCUUCCCCAAAGAGCAGAAUGUGCUUCAGUUAAUAAAAGAGUGUAUAAACAAGCACAGAGGCUGCUGCUUCCCUAUCUGAUCUACUGCAGUAAAUAAAAUCAAUAACCUAGACUUACUGAAAUAAAACACAUCCCAUGAAGGAAAUCCAAAGAUAUUUCUCAUUAUUGUAGAUGAUUUCUAAGCUAAACUUUAAUUUUCCUCUCAUUGUAGGAUAAUCUAGCAUACUGUUUAAAACAAGGUUUUUUUUUCCUAUAGCAGUCCUCCAGUUGAAAAAGAGCUUUUUUACCCCCUCCAGAUUUCAAGACUUUUGGGGCAUCAGUCACUGCAGAAACUUAAAUGCAGUGGGACAGUUGAAAGUUUGGUAAAGAUGCGCCUGACUGAACAGCUGGACAUGAGAAAAAAUAGUUCUUCAGUGCUGAGUGGGUUUGGCAGCACAGCUAGGACUGCAUAGCUGGGAUGUCCUAGAUAAUCCUAGAAGAUCUGAAAAAACAUGGUGGUAUAGCUUUUCAACUAUUUCAGGGAAAGGUGAUGAUUUUGGUCCAAAAUGGAUAGGCAUAAUUCCAGAGGGAGUUUUUUAGGUUUUAGGUUGUAGUCAGUGGCUAGUUACCUUUGUGUCUGUGUCUAAACUCCCUUAGUGGCCAUUGUCUUCUACAUAUGCAUGCUAUGCCUAAAUAAAUAUCUCAGCUGUCCCUCAGGUGGAGGCCCGUCAUCAAGGCUUGCUUUAGCCAAAUGCAUGGUGUCAGUCAGAUACAGUGAUGGGAGCGCAAUAUGAGAGAGCCCAGAGGAAAUUGGAUAGUUUGUCAUAUAGAAGCACUCAGAUUGCUUUAUCAAGCAGUCUUUUCUGGUCUUAACUUGCAUAAAUUUAUAACCCGCACUGAUUCAAAUAAGUUCAACUUUCUCUCGUUACUGUGUUUUGUGCCUUUCUGAAAAGAUGAUUGGAAAAGAUGGAUGUUGAAAAAGAGCAGUAGCCUCUAACUGAUCUUAAGUUUUUCAAAUAUAUUAUCCUUUAAAAAACUCCCAUAAUCUAGUCUGGCAUAAUUGUUCCAGCAACAACUGUUACUAAUCUAUUUUCCAUGCAAUGGCCAUAGUAAAAUAUAGGUGUGUAUAGUUAAUGCUUUGAUUUCAUUAAUCUAAAAGAACAAUUUGGGGUUGUUUUGGUUGAAGGAACUCCUCCAUUUUAUUCCCCUUAGGACUAGCUGUGUGGCUUUCUUCUAAAAAGUGUAAUAAUAUAAAUAAUAUAAAAGAAGUCUCUAAACAUUUAAAAGACUGGAGAACUAGAUUAUGUUUCCAUUCAUCAGCAGGGUUCUCAUAAGUAAUUUUUGAGCUGCAGUGCAAGGAAACUGAGAAGAGAUUGAACUGCUAAUGUUCCCUUUGCUGUGUGGAUAUACAGAACACAGUUUUUUUGCCCCACAAGGAUUCUGUUGAUUUUGAA